AACGGGAUAGUGUCUGGAAACGGACAGUAAUACCGUAUAACGUAUUUUUACCGCAUGAUAGAAAUACCAAAACUGAGGUGCCGAAGGAUGGGCUCGCGUCUGAUUAGAUAGUUGGUGGGGUAACGGCCUACCAAGUCGACGAUCAGUAGCCGGACUGAGAGGUUGAACGGCCACAUUGGGACUGAGACACGGCCCAGACUCCUACGGGAGGCAGCAGUGGGGAAUAUUGCACAAUGGGGGAAACCCUGAUGCAGCAACGCCGCGUGAAGGAAGACGGUUUUCGGAUUGUAAACUUCUGUUCUUAGUGAAGAAUAAUGACGGUAGCUAAGGAG
This 332-nucleotide ribosomal RNA is filed under the name uncultured bacterium. Its description in RNAcentral is "bacterial SSU rRNA". It matches the Rfam family "Bacterial small subunit ribosomal RNA", at positions 137 to 486 of the family's 1533-position model. The record is from RNAcentral.